Arabidopsis thaliana (thale cress) is the source of this 406-nucleotide long non-coding RNA. RefSeq annotates it as other RNA. The transcript has 2 exons. The record is from RefSeq. NCBI's taxonomy places the organism in Eukaryota, Viridiplantae, Streptophyta, Magnoliopsida, Brassicales, Brassicaceae.
AUAUGUGUCUUGUUCCUCUCAAAGUGUCACUAGGGUGAGAGAAUUUGUGAUCCCUAUGCCGCAUACGUAUCCCAUCUCUCUAUCGUUUAUUUUUCUCAUGCCACUUCUGUUUUUUUCCUAAAUACAUAUCUAUCUGAUCGGAUUCUUACUUCAUUUAUUGUGAUUCAGAUUCUGUUCUUUGUGUAUGUUUCCCUCUUGCCCUUAGCAUUGUUUCAAUGGGUGCUACUAGGGCUUAUAGUAGUUGAUGGAUACCCGCUGAAACGGACCGCGCGCGAGUUAAAUAAAGGCUUUUAUGUUCAAUUAUAUAUGAGAGUUUGUAAGAAAAGACAUCCAAACCAAUUCGCAUGGUCCCUUACUUGGUUCUGUCAAAAGAAAGGUCUAGAGCCUACGUUUUUGUAUGUUUGAA